Long non-coding RNA from Choloepus didactylus (southern two-toed sloth), 999 nucleotides. RefSeq lists it as uncharacterized. The transcript has 3 exons. NCBI's taxonomy places the organism in Eukaryota, Metazoa, Chordata, Mammalia, Pilosa, Megalonychidae. The record is from RefSeq and is a predicted model, not a curated record.
CUCUUUGAGGUCCUUCAAUAUUUUCUUUUUUAGGGUGUAGUGGGUUCCUGAGACCCAAAGUUUGAGAACUGCUGGAAUAAAAGUCUCAUGAAGGCAGAUUCCAGAGAAGAGAGAACAUUCAGACCUUGCCUAGACACACUCGCCAAGCGCUUUGGUAAUAAUAUUUACAAAAGUGAGACACAUUCUGCUGUCACGUUAAGAGAUGGACUCCGGCUUCUUACCUCUUACCGGAAGCCAGCAGCGCUCACCCAGCAGGAGAGCUGAACACUCGAGGAAGACAGAGCGCCUCUGCGCGUCCGCAGCCGGGGAACCUUGGAGACCACAAUCCCAGUGGCCCAGGAAUCGUUCAACCAGGAGCCCUCUAUUUUGCUUUCGUCAGGAGAUGAGCAGAGGUAGAGGUGGCUCCGGGGGCUGCGCAGGGCGCUCCAGCCACCCGAGGGGCCAUCCUGGGAUCACCCUCCCCAGCGCCAGGGGCGCACAGACAUCGCGCAAAAUCCAGCCUCCUCCGCGUUCAGACGAGAGGACAGAAAACUCCAGGAUGCAGUCAGCCACAGAUGAAAUCAACUUGACGAUUUAAGUCCACGAAAUGUCCUCACAGCAACAGUAAGACCACGGCUUGCUUGAUCAAACAGCUGGAUGCCAUCACCUGGCCAAGACGACACAUGAGCUUAUCCAACACACCCAAGGGACGUAUUCCUCCUCAUUCCAAAGCACAGUAAAUCCAACUAAUUCAACUACAGAGAGGGAAGGAAGACUCUGGAGACAGAUUAGAGAUGACAACGGAGGAGAAAGAGAGCAGAGAUAUUGUCCAGAGAAUUUUGAUUUCGGUUUACUGUUCAUGUGUAAUGAAAAUUUCCCCAAGAAAUUUUCAGCAAAAUUUCCGUCACACACCAAUCUUCUGGAGGUGGGUUUUGAGGGUUCUGACCGUGUGAUAUCUGGUCUCCAGGUGGGCACGGAAGGAGAGAAGGCUUCCGAAGGGGGCCUGGCCUCCCACGAGUG